UUGUGAUGGAACUACGGGUGCACGUAUGUGGCCAGAGUUUGAAUAAAAGGUGGAGGCGAC
This 60-nucleotide unclassified non-coding RNA is filed under the name synthetic construct. The record is from RNAcentral.